RNAcentral lists this ribosomal RNA (255 nucleotides) under uncultured bacterium. RNAcentral's name for it is "partial 16S ribosomal RNA". It matches the Rfam family "Bacterial small subunit ribosomal RNA", at positions 524 to 777 of the family's 1533-position model. The record is from RNAcentral.
UACAGAGGGUGCAAGCGUUGUUCGGAAUUACUGGGCGUAAAGAGCGCGCAGGCGGUCGUUCAAGUCGCGUGUGAAAGCCCCCCGGCUCAACUGGGGAGGGUCACGCGAUACUGAUCGACUCGAAGGCAGGAGAGGGUAGUGGAAUUCCCGGUGUAGUGGUGAAAUGCGUAGAUAUCGGGAGGAACACCAGUGGCGAAGGCGACUACCUGGCCUGUUCUUGACGCUGAGGCGCGAAAGCUAGGGGAGCAAACGGGG